RNAcentral lists this ribosomal RNA (254 nucleotides) under uncultured bacterium. RNAcentral describes it as "partial 16S ribosomal RNA". It matches the Rfam family "Bacterial small subunit ribosomal RNA", at positions 524 to 776 of the family's 1533-position model. The record is from RNAcentral.
UACGUAGGGGGCAAGCGUUGUCCGGAUUCAUUGGGCGUAAAGAGCUCGUAGGCGGCUUGGCAAGUCGGGUGUGAAAACUCCAGGCUCAACCUGGAGACGCCACCCGAUACUGCCAUGGCUAGAGUCCGGUAGGGGACCACGGAAUUCCUGGUGUAGCGGUGAAAUGCGCAGAUAUCAGGAGGAACACCGGUGGCGAAGGCGGGUCUCUGGGCAGUAACUGACGCUGAGGAGCGAAAGCGUGGGGAGCGAACAGG